Molecule: transfer RNA, 74 nt
Filed under: Vampirovibrionales bacterium
Lineage: Bacteria; Bacillati; Candidatus Melainabacteria; Vampirovibriophyceae; Vampirovibrionales
Also listed under: 1 other name
Description: tRNA-Arg
Rfam family: tRNA
About the family: Transfer RNA (tRNA) molecules are approximately 80 nucleotides in length. Their secondary structure includes four short double-helical elements and three loops (D, anti-codon, and T loops).
Source: RNAcentral
GCGCUCGUAGCUCAGCUGGAUAGAGUGACGGCCUCCGAAGCCGUAGGUCGCGCGUUCGAAUCGCGCCGAGCGCA